This 18-nucleotide non-coding RNA is filed under the name Arabidopsis thaliana (thale cress). Lineage: Eukaryota; Viridiplantae; Streptophyta; Magnoliopsida; Brassicales; Brassicaceae. The record is from RNAcentral.
UCGGACCAGGCUUCAUCC